This 1248-nucleotide unclassified non-coding RNA is filed under the name Hevea brasiliensis (rubber tree). Lineage: Eukaryota; Viridiplantae; Streptophyta; Magnoliopsida; Malpighiales; Euphorbiaceae. The record is from RNAcentral.
AAUGGUACGGAGCUCCAUUUGGCUAGAAAAAAUGAAGGAAAAUGCGUUAGUCCUUAAAUAAACAGUUAAGCAAUUGUAUAGACAAAAGAGAACUCAAAUGUUCAUUUAUGCAGUCGAGCAACUUAUGGCGAAAACACAAUAGCAGAACCUUAGUCCUUAAAAUAUUCAGUAGUUAAGCAAUUGUACAGACAAGAAAACUCAAAUGUCCAUUAUACAGUCAAGCAACUUAUGCCAUAUACUUGCUAAGGAAACACAAUAACAGAACCUGUAAUUGGUAAACCAUAUCCCUAGAACUUUCCACCCUUCCCCCUCUCAUUCUACGAUUGUAAAGAAAAAAAGGUCAGAAUCCAUUAAACACACAAUUGUUGCUCAAUGAUCAGGUCACAACUAACAAUUUAUGGCAAAUAAAAUUAUUGUUGAACUUAUAUACACAAAAAAUCAUAAGCAGGAGAAGAAGCAAAUAAAAGACAGAAUUCCAAAAUUUGCAAUUCAGCAGUUUCAUCAUAUUCAAAAAAAGAAAUAAGUUCACAGUCCCAAUAAUUGGGAUUGGGAAAAAAAAAAGAAAAAAAGAAAAACACAUAAUAGUGAUGACAUGGAUUCUUUGGGAGCCGGCAAAUCACAUUCCAUAUCUCAACAGGAAAUUCAAAGUACCAUACUAUUUCAUUAGGAAAGUGUAGCAGUAAAGCUGGGCCUUAGCUUUAAAAGGGAGAGUUAAGAAAAGGUAGGAUGAAGCAAAUAAGAAGACAUCUAUUCAAGAAAUACCUUAUACUAAGAAAGAGUGCACAGGAUUGAUGAUUAUUUUAACAGUAUAUGAACAUGCCACAUAUUAUGCUUACUGAUAGCUGGACAUAAGCUAGCAAGAGAACAAACAAAUUCACAUAAUGAAUCUUAGAGAUGGUCUAGAAUUCAUUAUGAUCAAUGCACAAAUAACCACAAAUAAGCUUUCUGAAAAACUCGUUCAAAAAAUUAAUUCGAAGACCACUUCCAAGCAUUCCAGCUAAUCCAAUAAUCCUACCAAUAAGGAGAUAUUGAUCUAAAACAAGAAUAACCAGUGCUUUCCAAAGGGAAGAUGUUCACAAAGCAAGUAUAACAAGAUACUUCUCAAACCAUACAUUAUGCUUAACCCGAGCCCACAAUUACAAGUUAAAGUAAAUCUGCACAUAGACAGGCAAAUGGAAAUUAACACCUACAUGUCAAUGCACAUUUUCUGCGUGGAUAACAAACCUUAUUAAUUGCCCGUGCUGGAAC